Molecule: ribosomal RNA, 463 nt
Filed under: uncultured bacterium
Lineage: Bacteria
Description: partial 16S ribosomal RNA
Rfam family: Bacterial small subunit ribosomal RNA
Source: RNAcentral
GAUGAACGCUGACAGAAUGCUUAACACAUGCAAGUCUUUGGCGAAUCUGUGCUUGCACAGGCUAGCCAAGGCGGACGGGUGAGUAACGCGUAAAGAACUUGCCCUGCAGACAGGGAUAACAGACGGAAACGACUGAUAACACCUGAUACAGUUGCCGGCACGCAUGUGCCUGGCAAUGAAAAGAGAUGCAGCAGGAGAGCUUUGCGUCCUAUUAGCUUGUUGGUGAGGUGACGGCUCACCAAGGCGAUGAUAGGUAGCCGGCCUGAGAGGGUGAACGGCCACAAGGGGACUGAGAUACGGCCCUUACUCCUACGGGAGGCAGCAGUGGGGAAUAUUGGACAAUGGGGGCAACCCUGAUCCAGCAAUUCUGUGUGCACGAAGAAGGUUUUCGGAUUGUAAAGUGCUUUCAGCAGGGAAGAAGAAAGUGACGGUACCUGCAGAAGAAGCGACGGCUAAAUACGUG